UGUGACGCUGACAUUGGCCUCCACCUGUUGUUCUCUGGGGGUGACACAGGUUGAGCAGAGGGUAUUGGAUGUGGCCACCUUUCCUUCCCAUGACAUUGGAGCGUUUUGCUUGUCAGGAUGACAGAACAGACUUCUCAGCUGUGAGAGCGCAAAUCCUGCAGACUGGAAUACAAUCUGAUUUCACUAGAAUUCAACAGCAGGUAAGAAAACAUUGAUUUCUCUGCCCAAAAUGCUCCACUUUGCUUUUCAAACCAGAGCAUUUCCAGCGCUGCUUUGCUUCCCACUCCUUCCCCUCUCUCUCACUGCUGACCCUCUCCCCUGCUUUGUAAUGCACCCCCCAGGGGCUCUGCCCAUCUCAAACAAUCCCAUUCCUGGUUUCUUCCCUUUCAUACCAUGCAGGGAUCUUUUUCGAGGCAACCCAGUGGAAUGACAUCACCCGUACUGCAUGGGUGUUGCUGAGGUUUUUUCCCAACGUUCUUGAAGAUUUUGAGGAAGCUGUUAGAAAGCAGAUUUUGUUUCCAAUUACUCUGCAGCUCCAUUCUAUGAAACGAGUCCAAAUUUAUGUUCUUUGUGGCUUAACCCUUCCUCAGGUCAUGCCAACACCACCAUUCUCCAGCCAUCCUCCUUGCCCUCUCUGGGAUGUGCACCCCUUGAGGAGCAGCAGGAAUGCACUACAGCUGUGCAUGGGUAAAGCAAGACAUGGAGGAUAUAGAAUAUUUGUUUUCUUGACUCUGUUCUCCAUUUCUGCAGUAAGUGCUGGGGUGCAUGUGGCUCAAAUGAAUUCAUGGGCCCUUUUUGCACAGCUGAUAGGACAGGUUUCUCUAUGAAGGAGCAGUGAAAAGAUUUAUGGCCUCAUCUUUUCUGUCUAAUUGAAUGGAUCAAGAUAAAAGGUCAAACGGACAAAGUAAUGGUGGUGAAGCACAGAAGUGUAGGAAGAACUGAGAUGCAUGAAGGUUAAUGCAAAUCUUGCCUGGUUUUGGCUUGCUUGUUUCCUUCCCUUCUGCUUAGCCAGCAUUUCUAAUUAUGAAACAAGCAGUGCAUUGGGAAAUGCCUCACCCCAGAGCACAAGCAGCAGGGAGAAAAUUCCUCUUCAUCCCUGUAGCGUUGGGGAUCUCCUGCUUGAAGCUGCAUGUUCUCAGCUGAUGACUUUUCCAAGUGAAGAUGCAGUAGCCCUGCAGUGCUGGGAUCACAGCCCUGGGAUCUGAACUGCAACACACUCUGUGCAAACCCCUCCUCAGCGCUCACACCCAUUUCUUCCCAUCCAUCACGUGGUUUUUCUGCACACUCUUACCCCUGUUUGGGACCCACAGAAGCAGAGCAGAAUGUUUUUGCUGCAGUUACUGACCCAGUGCUUUGUCUCAGUUUGUUUUUAAUGUCUCCUUGUAAUGAGAUUUCCUCCCUCCUCUGAGGCCCACUCUGGGAGAUCUCCUUGAGGGUGGUGAUGCACUGGAACAGGUUGCCCAAGGAGGCUGUGGAUGCCCCAUCCCUGCAGG
Molecule: long non-coding RNA, 1493 nt
Organism: Coturnix japonica (Japanese quail)
Lineage: Eukaryota; Metazoa; Chordata; Aves; Galliformes; Phasianidae
Source: RefSeq, a predicted model, not a curated record